This 119-nucleotide ribosomal RNA is filed under the name Saimiri boliviensis boliviensis (Bolivian squirrel monkey). The record is from RNAcentral. Lineage: Eukaryota; Metazoa; Chordata; Mammalia; Primates; Cebidae.
UUCUAAGGCCAUACCACCCUGAAUGCGCUCAAUCUCAUCUGAUCUCGGAAGCUAAGCAGAGUUGGUCCUGGUUAGUACUUGGAUGGGAGACCACCUGGGAAUACCAGGUGCUGUAGACA